UUUUUUUUGUUUGUUUGGUUGGUUGGUUUUUUUUUUUUUUAACCUCAAAAUCUCUAUUUCUCACCAAGCUAAUGAAAACCAUAUGCUAUUGCUCUAAUUCUAAUCAAAAAUAAAAUAUGGUUUUUGUGUCUUUGGUCUUAUUGAAGAGACAUUACUGAGCUAUCCUUAAUCUUGUAUUCUAGAGAUUCAGAAUGAAAAUCCAAGCCUCAUCAGGACAGGUGGCAACUAACGGAGUCUUCCCUGAAUUCUUAGUUUUAAUGAUAUUUUAAAUUCUGUAGGUACCCCAGGCAGAGAAGGAUAAAAAACAAGCACAGUACUGAUGGUGUAUGAGUUAAUGGGAGGAUAACUGAUAAAAUUAAACCUCUGCAACCCGCUGAGCAAACCCAAACUUGCGAAGCUACUAGAACAUUAAUGAGUAAGAGAUCUUAAUUAAAUUGUUUGUAAUUAACUCUCCCAAGAGUAAAAAGUGUAAAAGUAUCGCAACCUAAAUACCUGUGGCACUUACUUGCAAUAGACGAAGUAAUUACCACGCAAAGGAUAUGCAUAGAUACCUAUCAAAUAUACAUGUGCAUCAUAUAUAUCAAUGCCAUACCAACCACCAAGAUUUCCUUGCUCUUGAAAUUCUUCUGAGAAGGCAGUUUUAGAAUAUUGAUAUUAAUAUCUACCUGCUAUUUAAUGAAAAUGAUAUAUUCUGUCUUAGCUGUAACCACUCUAAGUCGUAAAAUGAACUCAGGAUUUUCAAUGAAAGGCAUAACAUAUUCUUUCAAAAUUUUAAUGAGAAUUAGAUCAUGUGUAUAUUCUAAGACAAAUUUGCACAUCAGAAGAGCUAGUUAGGAAGGGGUCAAUGAGCAGCAAGUUUACUGAGGAGUCAAAAGUCAUCUCUGGAUUUUUUUAGAGGGUCAAGGCAACCAUUCUAGUAUCAAUUGGACAGUCCCAACUCUAGGGCAGCCUGGCAUGACAAUGAGCCCAUUGGACCAUAACCCCCUGAGCCAACCAUACUUACAACACACCUGUGUCAUGAGUGGCUAAUUCAUGGGCUCAGGCAUUGCACUAGAGGCUGAGAUGAAAAAAGGCAAAAGAUACAGCCCUUGGUCUAAACACCUUGCAAUCCAAUAGAGUUAUGGCUUGGAAAGGGAAAAGUUUUGACCAAAUGAAUUCAAUUUCUUAGAGCUUAUUUUCAUUUCUGUAUUUUUUACAUGUUCCUUUAGAAACGGCAUUGAUUAUUACAUGAAAACAUCUAAAUUAUGAUGAAUUAAAGUAGUAUAUAUGAGUAUAUUCUGUGGGAUUUGCAAUUUGCCAUUAUCAACAAUUAAUACCCCCAUUCAUGUCUUCAGUGCAUUUGUACUUAGACCUAGUUGUGAUAAUUCAUUUUAUGAACUUGACUGGGCCAUGGAGUACCCAGGUAUUUGAUGAAACAUUGCUUCUGGGUGUGUCUGUGAGGGUGUUUCAAGAUAAGACUGAAUCAGCAGAGCAAAUAAAAUAGUUUGCCCUCCCUGUGGGCCUCAUCUAGUCCAUUAAGGGCCCAACUAGAAUAAAAGGCCGUAACAGAGAAUUCUUUUUGACUGUCUUUGGGCUGGGAUAUCAGUCCCGCCUUUGGACUCAGAUUCAAACUGGAACUUACCACCACUGGCCUUCCUGGUUCUCAGGCCUUCAGACUCAGACUGGAAUAUGCCAUCAGCUCUCCUGGGUCUGAACUUGGCUUUCAUAAUUGCAUGAGCCAGUUCCUAAUUACUGUAAAUAUAUCUUUCAGGCCGUUGUCUGACUUUUGGUCUUACAACUUCUUUGUUUUGACAUAGUAAGUUAAACAUUUUUCUGUAAUGCCCCUCAAUUUCUCAAGACUUUCUCAUAGCAUCUAUAGAAUCGAACAAAGCAAUUCAGCUACUUUUCUAAUGACUUCUCUAACUUCUCUUCCUGUACUUUUCUUUUCCCCAAAGAUCUGCCAUGUAAUUGUUUUUGUUUUUGCAAAUGUUACCAUGAUAAAAUAUAUAUACACAUGCAAGUCACAAGUGUGUUCACACGCAAAAAUUUUUGAGUGAACACACUUGUGUAAAAAGCACCCAGAUCAAGGAAAACAAAAACAAAAGCAAAACAAGCCAGAAGCCUCUUGGGUCCCUUACCCCUGUUAAAAGUAACCACUCUCCUGAUUUCUAAAAGUACAGAUAACUUUGCCUGUUUCUGAACUUCAUAUAGAUGUACUCAUAGAGUACAUCUUUGAGUUUGGUCUCUUCUACCCAGUGCUAUACUUGUGACAUUCAGCCACGCUUCUUGUGGUAAUUGUCUGUUACAGUAACUCUCAUUACUGUAUAACAUUCCCUUGAAUAAAUAAAUCACAAUUCAUUUCUCCAUUUACUGCUGAUCUCCUUUUGGGUUGAUUCCAUUUUCGGCUGUCAUGUAUUACGAACAUUCUUGUAGGUGUCUUUGUGAAUGCACAUACCCAUUGUUUGUGGAUAACUGUCUAGGAGUGGAAUUGCUGGUUGUAAUAAGAUACUUUUUUUUGUCUUUUCUUUUGACAUGCUUUCCUUCACGAGUUUCAUCUACAAUAUUCUUGGAUGAUCCUCUAAACAUGAAUAACUUGCUAUUUAAUUUUCCCACCCCUCUGCUCUCUUAAGCACCAGAAAAAUUAUACAUUGUUCACUAAAAAAAGUCCAAGUUCAAAGUCUUUGACUAUCACCUCCCUCCCUAUCACUCCCUCUCUUGCUACACCCCCAGGCAAAGGAGGGUUACCUCCUGCUGAGUUUAGACUCUGAUAUCUACCGGGUCUGCUACCUCUGGGACCACAUAUGAAACAUGAAGAUUAAUUUUGUCUAUUUAAUAGCUUAAGGCCUAGAAAGAAAAAAAUUUUUUUCAGAAUAAGACACCCCUAUCCCCUCUUUCUGGAAGGCCCUACCCUGCUUCCUCUCUGGGUUUCUAAGAUUGGAAGGGUUUAAAGAUAGAAUGGAAUGCCUCCAUAGCAGGAAAAGUUCCAACGCUGGCCUCACCACACCAGCUGCACGAGAGGCAGCUCUAAGAUGGAGACAAUUCAAAGAGGAAAUGGUCCUUGCAUGCGGAAGAGAGAACACCAGCCACCCCGCUCCUCCCUAGUGCCUUUACCCUCAACCUCUGGGUCUGCUGACGAUUUGUACCAUAUCAGGGCCCCUCCUCGGGCACAGAAGGAGGGGAGGGAAAGUCAAGUUUCGCAUGGGCCACUAACCCUCAUCCACAAUGUCAUAUUUCUUAUCCAGAAUGCCUGCAACUUAGCAAGGCUAAAACCAAACGCUUAUCUUUUCUCCAAACCAAAUCCGCUUUCAGGUUUCUCAGUUUCUAUCAGCUGUAACAUCACAAUCACGCAGCUCAAAAACCUGAGAAACCAUCUCAGAUUCCUUUCCUUUAUCUCGUUGGUCAAUGAUCAUUUUCGAUUCUUCUUCAAAACUGUCUAUUCUUCUUCAAAAUGCCUUUUAUGGCCAUACCAGCUUUUUUUUUCUUACCUUCCAGAUGAAUUAUUACCAAGCUUCAGUGACUAUCUUCCUGACCCUGUCUACUGGCCCAUCCAGCUUGGCCACCACCUUAACAUGGAGCUUUCUAGCACAGUGACAUCCUGACAUUCCCCAUCCGACUACCAGCCUCCAAAAUCUCCCCUACAGCAACAGGAAAUACUGUGGACUAAUGGACUUUUGAACUGAUAGCAAACAAUUAUAAUUUACAUAAUGAAAUAACUUUUAAAAAAAAGUAUAAGUAGGGUACCGUUGAAUGAUGAAGUCUAGAAGAGUCAAGACUAGGAAAACUUAAACCAUUUCAGAAUCCAGGUUUAUCAGCACACAUUAGAGAAGAUUUUCCAUGGAAUGUUGGAGCUGGCGGCUCACUGGCAGGUUGCUGAGAGGUGAGGGAAGAGGAACUAUCUUGUGGGAAGCUGAAUGCAGGCUUGUGUAGGACACAUUGGUAGUGGGUUUUGAAUCAUGCAUGGAAGCCUGCAUUUUCCUUCAUGAGAAACCCAAGAUGGACCAUCUAUCACUGCAUAUCUUCUAGUAGCACUUGAACCAGAGCACCUGACCAAAUUUCUCCAUGCUCGAAAUAGGUCAGUCUAGUUCCCCAUUCUGUCCUUAUCAUUUACGUCCAAAGCUAACACAGGUGACCUGGCCACCAACCCACUCACUCCUCCAAUUUGUCUUGUUCUAGUUCAAAGGCUCCAGUUUCCACCUUAACACUUCUCCUCUUCUCCAUUCCUAUUCCACAGUCUACCAUGUAUGUAAGCAUAUAUAGAAGAUUCCACUGGAAAUUCUGAAAGCAAUGACAAAGCAGACUUGGCUUGAUUAAUCCCUCUUCAAUCCAUCUUCUUGUAAACAUUUGGUGAGUACCUACUAUGUACCAAACACAUUUCCUACUAUGUGCUGAAAACAUUACUAUGGGUUUUUGCAAAGGCCAAAAGUAAAAGUCAUGAUUCCUAUCUUCAAGGAACUUACUCCCUCUAUGGAGAUUUGGGACAAUCUCUCUUUUUUUUCCCCUUCCUCUCGCAACUCACCCACACUCACACAUAUGUGCACACAUACGCAUACACAAGACAAUAAUACUGGGGGUAAGUAAUAAUUUCAUAUGGUCUGUUUUUUAUUGUACCUUGUAUUAUAGGGUCAAGUGAGUGGUAGGAUGUUCUGAAUCUAAAGGACCUCAUUAGCCUCAGGCUUCUGCAGGUAGAGUCACCCUUUUGGGUAAUUCAGACAACCUGAGGACCACCAGAGCAAGAUGGAAGUGGAGAGAGAUUGGAACAGUUAAUAGAAGUGCCAAAGGAGGCCACCAGCAAGUUCAGUCCUCUCUCCCCACGCACUUUGUUUAUAGAGCUGAUGUCCUAAGGUGUGCUCUGAAUGGCAUAGAUUGGUGAUGUGGCCUCCACUUUCUCCAGAAGCCUUGCUCUUCCAGAUACCCAUCCUGUCACUGGUUUACCAGCAUACAGUAACUAGACCAGGUGAUGUCUUAUUCAUGGCUGCUUUUAGGAGAUAUUGAAUGAGAGUCCUUGGGAGGAUGCUAGAGAAUUCCUGAAGCAUGAAAAUGGUGGGCUAAGGCAAUAAAUAUCUGGGAGCUUGCUGAUGUGUGAAGGGGUCCUGUUAACCCCUUUCAUCUUUAUUUGGGCUUCCUAAGAGGUUCAUGGUCUGGAACUGGACACUCUGCAUGGGCUCAGACUUGGAUCUCCAUGGAUACAGUUUCAGCUACAAAACAUGCAAAUAAGCAGCUAUAAGUGGUGGGUGCCUUACACCACCAUCUCCAUCUCAGUUCUGGAAACACUACAGCAGAGACUGGAAGAAAGGGAGAGGUUUUCCUCAUUUUCUUUGCUACCUAAUAGAUGGGAAGGUAGGAUGUAUUUCUUGUUUAAUGGCAGCACAUUAUUCUAUUCUCCUAUCAAGAAGUGAGGUAUGGGAGUUCCCGUCGUGGCUCAGUGGUUAACAAAUCCCACUAGGAACCACGAGGUUGCGGGUUUGAUCCCUGGCCUUGCUCAACAGGUUAGGGAUCUGGCAUUGCCGUGAGCUGUGGUAUAGGUCGCAGACGCGGCUCAGAUCCCACGUUGCUGUGGCUCUGGCGUAGGAUGGCAGCUACAGCUCCGAUUGGACCCCCAGCCUGAGAAUCUCCAUAUGUCAUGGAAUCGGCCCAAGAAAUGGCAAAAAGACAAAACAACAACAAAAAAGUGAGGUAUGGAGUUCCUGUUGUUGCUCAGUGGGUUAAAGAUCUGACAUAGUGUCCGUGAGGAUGCGGGUUUGAUUCCUGGCCAUGCUCAGUGGGUCCAACAUUGCUGUGGCUGUGGUGUAGGCUGGCAGCUGCCACUCCUAUUCUAUCCCUAGCCUGGGAACUUCCAUAUGCUGCAGGUGCAGCCAUUAAAAAAAAAAUAAGAAGGAGGUGAGGUCUUUGAAGCCUCCUCUGGAAUCUGGGUGGGCCUCUGUGACUGCUUUGACCCAUAGACCAUGGUGGAUAUGAUAUUUGCAGCUUUCAAGGUUAAGUCAUCAAAGGCCAUGCAACUUCUACCUGGCUUUCUUGAGACACUUAUUCUGGGGUGCGUGUAACCUGCUCCACUGUGCUCUGAUGCUAUAUGAAAGGACUUAAGCUAUCAGCCCCAGCUGAGUGCCCCUUUCCAGUUAUCCUCACCAAGGCACCAGAGGUGUGUGUGAGGACGUCCUGGCUCCUUCAGACCAGCCAUUUCGCCAGCAGAGAAUGACUUACAGACCUUGGAAAAUAUCAGGAGGAAAAAAACAAUCACCCAGGGAAGCCUGCCUGAAUUCCUGAACUGUAGACCCCAUGAGAUGUAGUGAAAUGCAAUUUGUAUUAACUUCUGUGUUUUGGGAUAGUUUGCUAUGCAGCAAUACUAAUGAGAAUGAAAGAGUAUACAACUCUGGGAAUACAUGUCCAAGCCCCACUGAAAGAGAUUUGGGGGCAAAAAGCAAUGGUUGUUUAUAAGUUGAUGUUGCUGAGUGGAGGACCAGAGAGAUAAAACUACUUCCUCAUUGGCUUUUAAGACGUUAAUGUUGCCACGACCCUCACACUCUUAACUCCCCUUUGGUACAGUAACAAGGAUCUAAGACACUUAAGUCCUUGUGCUCUUGCUAAGAGGCUGUAUUAGUUUGCUAGGGCUGCCAUAACAAAGUUCCACAAACUGGAUGUCUCAACUGAAAUGUAUCGUCUUACAGUUCUGGAAGCUAGGAAUCCAAGAUCAAGAUGCCAGCAGGGUUGAUUCCUUUGAAAAUCCAAAGGAAAAUCUGUUGCAUGCGUCUCCUCCAGCUCCUGGUGGUUUGCUGGCCAUCUUUGACAUUCCUGGGCUUCUAGCAGCAUCACUGUAACCUCAGCCUUCAUCUUCACACGGGGUUCUUCCUGUAUCCAAAUUUCUCUUUAUAAGACACAGUCAUUGAAUCGGAGCCCAUCUCAAUAAUCAAUAAUUGUCCUAGCCAAUGACAUCUUCAAGGUCACAUUUAGAGGAUCUAGGGGUUAGACCAUCAACAUAUGAACUUGUUGGGCGAGGGGACACAAAUGAACCCACCACAUAGGCUUUUGAAAUCUUCACUAUUAGGGAAAAUAGUAAUACCUUUACUACCACUUAAAAGAGAUGCCUCAAGAGUUAAAGAAAUAGGUUAACAGGGGGGCCAAGGAUUGGGUGCCGAUGCUUAAAUCUCCAGCUCUGGACUGAGCCCUGCGGCAUGUGAGGUGUGUGGUGCAAGGUCCCACAUGCCAGGUGCUCGGCUGCUGUGCCUGCAUAAGGAUGUGGGCCGAGUGGGAGUCUCAGUGGCAUUUCGUGAGGGGAUUUUUUUGGGCUGGUGUUUCUGUGUGGCGUGGGAUGCAGUGCAUUGAUGUUAUUUUCACUUCCUACAUGAGCAAUAGCAGGUGCACAGUCAUGGAGAACUUCAACCCUUCUUGUCUGCUUCGGGGGUUUGUGUGUGGUCAGGUCAUUGGGUUUAAAAGCAAUGCACUGAACACAAGGGGGCACAAAGCAGCAAAGAAUUCAACCCAGGCAACUUCCCUCACCCUGUUCAGCUGAGGGCUGGGCAAGCCAUAAUGAAAAAGGGGCAGUUGCUUCCACAUAGAGGUCCUGAGACAAGUGUCUCCAUGUCCAGGAGACAGAGAUGCCUGCCUAAAUUCUUCAUUUACCGCCGCUGCCAUCCUUCCUCUGUCACAUCCAGUGGACACUUGACCCAUUGCCCCACGGUGCCCAGAAGCAGUUGCACACAGAAGUGGAGUGUCUGUGACAGCCCUGCCUGGGUGGGAGUUGGGGGCAGAGUUCUGACUUACUCUCAUGGAAACUGAGUCUCUGGAGUCUGUUUAGGUCCUUGUAUUCAAAGCUGGUCU
Molecule: long non-coding RNA, 7791 nt
Filed under: Sus scrofa (pig)
Lineage: Eukaryota; Metazoa; Chordata; Mammalia; Artiodactyla; Suidae
Description: lncRNA (ENSSSCG00030027002.1)
Source: RNAcentral